This 567-nucleotide ribosomal RNA is filed under the name uncultured Hyphomicrobiales bacterium. RNAcentral describes it as "bacterial SSU rRNA". It matches the Rfam family "Bacterial small subunit ribosomal RNA", at positions 28 to 643 of the family's 1533-position model. Lineage: Bacteria; Pseudomonadati; Pseudomonadota; Alphaproteobacteria; Hyphomicrobiales. The record is from RNAcentral.
AGCGAACGCUGGCGGCAGGCCUAACACAUGCAAGUCGAGCGCCCCGCAAGGGGAGCGGCAGACGGGAGAGUAACACGUGGGAACGUACCCUUCAGUUCGGAACAACCCAGGGAAACUUGGGCUAAUACCGAAUACGUCCGUAAGGAGAAAGAUUUAUCGCUGAAGGAUCGGCCCGCGUCUGAUUAGCUAGUUGGUGGGGUAACGGCCCACCAAGGCGACGAUCAGUAGCUGGUCUGAGAGGAUGAUCAGCCUCACUGGGACUGAGACACGGCCCAGACUCCUACGGGAGGCAGCAGUGGGGAAUAUUGGACAAUGGGCGCAAGCCUGAUCCAGCCAUGCCGCGUGGAUGAUGAAGGCCCUAGGGUUGUAAAGUCCUUUCGGCGGGGAAGAUAAUGACGGUACCCGCAGAAGAAGCCCCGGCUAACUUCGUGCCAGCAGCCGCGGUAAUACGAAGGGGGCUAGCGUUGCUCGGAAUCACUGGGCGUAAAGCGCACGUAGGCGGACUCUUAAGUCGGUGGUGAAAUCCUGGAGCUCAACUCCAGAACUGCCUCCGAUACUGGGAGUCUU